AUUGCACUGGGCGUAUUAACAUUGUAAUAAACUACAUUAGUAUAUUACAAUCUACAAGGUGCAAGAGCAAAUAGUGAUUGUCGUACUCACAUGACCGCUGUCGGACAAUGUGGGCAGUAGCAUUCAUACAAGCUU
Molecule: small nucleolar RNA, 135 nt
Filed under: Bombyx mori (domestic silkworm)
Lineage: Eukaryota; Metazoa; Arthropoda; Insecta; Lepidoptera; Bombycidae
Description: Bm_120
Source: RNAcentral